UAGGGAAUCUUCGGCAAUGGACGAAAGUCUGACCGAGCAACGCCGCGUGAGUGAAGAAGGUUUUCGGAUCGUAAACUCUGUUGGUAGAGAAGAACGUUGGUGAGAGUGGAAAGCUCAUCAAGUGACGGUAACUACCCAGAAAGGGACGGCUAACUACGUGCCAA
Molecule: ribosomal RNA, 164 nt
Filed under: uncultured bacterium
Lineage: Bacteria
Description: partial 16S ribosomal RNA
Rfam family: Bacterial small subunit ribosomal RNA
Source: RNAcentral